Chlorocebus sabaeus (green monkey) is the source of this 463-nucleotide long non-coding RNA. RefSeq lists it as uncharacterized. NCBI's taxonomy places the organism in Eukaryota, Metazoa, Chordata, Mammalia, Primates, Cercopithecidae. The record is from RefSeq and is a predicted model, not a curated record.
CAAAAUAAAAUAAAAUGAACAUCAUCCAUCUGACUAUAGCCACCACGCCCCAGCUGUCGACUGCUGUCACUGUUACCCAACGAGGCUGAUCCUUCCUUCAUGGUUGUGGCCACACUGAAGUUCCCAGUUACGCAAUCAAACCCCCAUCUAGAUGUGGCUGUGGAGGGGCACUGAAGCUGGCGUUUGUAUCUACCAUCGGUUUGACAUUAAGGAAAGGAGAUGAACCUCCAAACUGAGAACAUGGACUGAUACAGUCCCUUUGAGACUACAGCCCAUAAGGACGUCACGCUUCUCCGGCGUGCCCGCGGCCACCACUGUUCCCUCUCUCUCAUUCACCCUCUGCUUCUCCCCCUUCUGGGAAAAGCAGCGUUCCUGAGGGCAGAGGGAUAGAAGGUCUGGCCCUCCUUCCUCGCUCUGCCCGGGCUCCAGGUCACCUUCCCUCAGUGACUUCUACCUGUAAAGA